UACGGAGGGUGCGAGCGUUAAUCGGAAUUACUGGGCGUAAAGCGCACGCAGGCGGUUUGUUAAGCUAGAUGUGAAAGCCCCGGGCUCAACCUGAGAUGGUCAUUUAGAACUGGCAGACUAGAGUCUUGGAGAGGGGAGUGGAAUUCCAGGUGUAGCGGUGAAAUGCGUAGAUAUCUGGAGGAACAUCAGUGGCGAAGGCGACUCCCUGGCCAAAGACUGACGCUCAUGUGCGAAAGUGUGGGUAGCGAACAGG
RNAcentral lists this ribosomal RNA (253 nucleotides) under uncultured bacterium. RNAcentral's name for it is "partial 16S ribosomal RNA". It matches the Rfam family "Bacterial small subunit ribosomal RNA", at positions 524 to 776 of the family's 1533-position model. The record is from RNAcentral.